GAAUUCGAAUGAAACCGAGUUACACUAGCUGAGGCUUUUCAAUCCUCAGAGGACCCUGUGGGACAAUACGGCUUCAGUGAAGGCGAUGGCAGCACUCAGGACCAUUGACGGCCCACACCUAUUUUCCUCAGGAUGACAUCUUUAUCGGCAGGCAUUGUCAUCCACUGGAAAAACACAAAGAGACCACCCACGUAUCGGCAGUACAAAAAUCUGUUUCCAUGACAACGCCAGUCUCCAAACUUCCAAGUCAUUUCUGUCACAGAGGCUGACAUAAGGGAAACAAGGAGCAGAACAUGUUUGGACUGUGGAGGAGCGAGAGGGAUCUGACGACACUGACGACACGCCUCUCUACACCGACAACCCGACUGAGCGAAGUUGCUGCUAAUUCAUCUUCUCCUCUUCCAUGUCAGCCAACAUCACGUUAUCCUUCAGGCAGCUGGAUUCAAGAUGGUGCAAGGAUCAUGAGAUCAUGCCACAAUGCUUCUGCACUGGAAACGGCAUGACUAAUCUCUACCAGUCGACACAAUUUACUGUGGCACAAUAUAAACCGUCAUAUCACCCAACCCUAGUGUACAACCUGACUCUAAAGAGGUUGAACAUUUGUCUAAAAUUUAUACUUUGAAUUGAUGAAUUCUGUUUUUAUUCACAUUUAUACUGCAUCACAACUUUUUCAAAAUCAGGGUCGUAUUAUGUGAAAGUUGACACACACACACAAGGAAGUCCUGCUUUACCACAGCAUCCAACUG
Long non-coding RNA from Centropristis striata (black sea bass), 746 nucleotides. RefSeq lists it as uncharacterized. Lineage: Eukaryota; Metazoa; Chordata; Actinopteri; Perciformes; Serranidae. The transcript has 3 exons. The record is from RefSeq and is a predicted model, not a curated record.